This is a non-coding RNA of Xylaria digitata, 97 nucleotides long. The record is from the annotation of a GenBank genome assembly. NCBI's taxonomy places the organism in Eukaryota, Fungi, Ascomycota, Sordariomycetes, Xylariales, Xylariaceae.
GGGCGAAUGGUCUAGGGGUAUGAUACUCCCUUCGCAUCUCUGACUCUAGAGAACAAAUGCUUGGGAGGGGUCCGGGGUUCAAUUCCCCGUUCGUCCA